This 77-nucleotide transfer RNA is filed under the name Deltaproteobacteria bacterium. RNAcentral describes it as "tRNA-Arg". It matches the Rfam family "tRNA". From Rfam's summary of the family: Transfer RNA (tRNA) molecules are approximately 80 nucleotides in length. Their secondary structure includes four short double-helical elements and three loops (D, anti-codon, and T loops). Lineage: Bacteria; Pseudomonadati; Myxococcota; Myxococcia. The record is from RNAcentral.
GGGCGAUUAGCUCAGGUGGAAAGAGCGCCGGCCUCCGGAGCCGGAGGUCGGGGGUUCGAGUCCCCCAUCGCCCUCCA